GGUAUUGUGACUCAGUGGUAGAGUACUUGCCUGGCACGUGUGAGGCACUGAGUUCAAUCCUCAGCACCA
Molecule: transfer RNA, 69 nt
Filed under: Marmota monax (woodchuck)
Lineage: Eukaryota; Metazoa; Chordata; Mammalia; Rodentia; Sciuridae
Rfam family: tRNA
About the family: Transfer RNA (tRNA) molecules are approximately 80 nucleotides in length. Their secondary structure includes four short double-helical elements and three loops (D, anti-codon, and T loops).
Source: Rfam by way of RNAcentral